This 2524-nucleotide long non-coding RNA is filed under the name Strigops habroptila (Kakapo). RNAcentral describes it as "lncRNA (ENSSHBG00005018657.1)". Lineage: Eukaryota; Metazoa; Chordata; Aves; Psittaciformes; Psittacidae. The record is from RNAcentral.
GGUGUCAGGCACGAUGAACAGCACUUCCAGCACUGCCUCCACGUGGGGUGGAACAUUCCAUUGAAGUAUCAUGGGAACAUCUAAAGAUUAGAAGGCACAAAGCUUAAGAGCAGGAACCAGAAGACAAGAGAUUAAGAAGUCUGAAGAUAACUUCACGUUUCCAAAGAUGCUGCACAUCAGAGAGGAUUGAGGGCAGAGAAAGCAGCCAACCAUGUGCAGUGCAAAGGAGGUAGCUACAGGCUUCAUGUUUAACUCUCCAGAUACACUCUUCCAGGAGGAAACAGGAGGUCAGCCUGUCCAAAUGCUCUUAGAGCAAACGAGUGAUGAGAAUGAAGACACACAAAGCCAUCUGAAGCAGAAAUAAUGCCAAGAACGUGGACUUGCUUGUGAUUGGGAACAGGUCUGUUUGUCAAGAGAGAACAAAGGAAGCCAAGAAUUACACAUAAUGUGAUACCUUUUAACUAAAAAGGCUCUUUUGCACCUUUACUGCCUUGAUCUAUGGCAAGCCCAGGUCACAAGCAUUAGGUGUUUCCAGGCUUUUCAGUAGAAGCCUAAUAACCACAGAGGAGCACAAAUAACGCAGCAUGCCAGGCUGUUUCCUGCUGCAGCUGGUCAGGACAAGGUAAGUCCAUUCCCUUGGGACACAGUUCCAAUGGCACAGAGAAGGAAAGAGUCACACACAAGGAUUUGUGUCUUCCAGGACAUAGUGGAUGUUUGCCCAAGCUCAGAAGUGACUUUCUAGUGCAAUAUUAUAACCCAUUAAACAUCCUCAGGUCAUCACUGAAACACCAGAGGGAGCUAAUCCACCUUCCUCACUUGGAGGCAUCUCCCCACCAUCCUUGGUAGGGCACCAGUAGUUCCAACCUAGUCACAGAGAUACCCAUCUCCUUCCACCUCACUGCUAGGGCCAGAGAUGAUCCUUUCCUUAGUGUUCGUAAAGUGCUUUGCAGAGAUAAAGCUCUGCCUAAGUGCUAAGUGAUUACUACCCAUCUUCUGCCAAUGAUUAAAGGCAGAGAUUAACUCCUUUCCCCUACUCUCAGCAACAUGUAUAAGCAGUCUGCAUCAGGAGGAAAGCCAGCCUGCUAGCCUCAGCCUCCCUAUGCUACAACAUCCCCUUUCCCCCUCAAAACCACUCCAGUUCAUUAUGUGCAUUCCUGGACACCAUCUUUAUAGCGUGUGUUGGGUGUGUGAAGCAAGUCAGCCUUACCCUGUGCUCUGCAAGAGUGGGUGAUGUGAUGGCACUUACACAACUGCUCUAGGGGAGCUCCUGAACAAGCUCUCAGCAAGGGGAACAACACUGCUCUUUCCUGAAGGAUCUACAAAGAGGAAAAGUAACUUCUUUUUGCUUUUAAAAGCAUUUUACUUUUAGAAAUUACUUGGAAUUCAAAGGGGUUUCUUCCCUCUAGUUCAAGACAGUAGAGAAAAGGUCACCUUUGGAACUUAAAACCCCAGGGACAGUAUUUUACUGCCCAUUUAACAAAGCCCCUGUGCUUCUGAAGGCCCUGUAAUGUGUAAGGAGCAGGAACACAGCAUCCCAGGCUAAAGUGUGGGACUUGGACACAAAGUCCAGUUCACUUCCAUGCACCUGAGGUUAUAACCUCAGUGUGCACUGAUGGAAAUAAAGUGCUCCAGUCCUGACUUGAUGGCAUUUGAUGCCACUCGUGCUCUGUUUGUGUGGUGCUCAGCACAGAACAGCCCUGACUCAUGGCUGGGGCUUCCAGAGACUACUCGGUGAUCACAGCUAAAGGCUGUGGGAUAACAGGAUAGGGAUAACAGAAGCCCAGAGGCUUGCUAUGAGCCUGGGAAGCACAGCAUCCUCCCACAGUGGAAAGAUCACAGUAAGGAAGGGAAAAGAGGGCCAUAAAUACCUCUGUGAUUACAAGGAAGCUAAAAUGGGAAUUUCUCUUCCAGUGAGGGAGGACAGAUCUCCAGCGAGAUUGAUUGGUAACUGCAGAGCUUGGAUAUGAAGGUUUUGUGUCAAUGAAAGGCCUUUUACAGGUCACAGUAUGUUUAAACUCUCUCAAUAGGUAGUUUCUCUCCUGCUCCCAUCAGUGGCAAGUGCCUGCCUGGAAAGGUCUUGGAGGCUCCUCCAGGCCCUGAGGUUCUGCACAGCAGUGCUCAGGGAGUUCUCCUGGUGCCUUGGUCAAGCUUUGCAGUGUGGUGGUGUGCAAUGGAGAGGCAGCCAAGGGAGGGUGGCUGAGGGAUGCACAAUGCUUCCCCCCAGGCUCUGAGCCACUUGAAAAGCAGAGGACUUGCAAUCAUACCUGCCCAUCCUCUCUCCCCUUGGAUCCCAGAGGGAACAAGCACAGGAAGGAGAGAAUGAACAUGCUUUUUGCUGAGGGAAAGCCUCCCUAUUUGCUUAAUAAAUACCUUCCAAGAAGCUUAGCAGCUCUGUAAACAUACAAGAGAUUUCAAUACUUAGUAAAAGUCCAUCUUUUCCCUGAACUCCCAAUGACAGAGGCUGGCACUGAUCUGUGAUUAUGGCAUAUGGGUGGUGUGAGGACCCAGCAGAGGCUCCCAGGCU